This 449-nucleotide ribosomal RNA is filed under the name uncultured bacterium. Its description in RNAcentral is "partial 16S ribosomal RNA". It matches the Rfam family "Bacterial small subunit ribosomal RNA", at positions 29 to 523 of the family's 1533-position model. The record is from RNAcentral.
AGCGAACGCUGGCGGCAGGCCUAACACAUGCAAGUCGAACGGACCCUUCGGGGUUAGUGGCGGACGGGUGAGUAACACGUGGGAACGUGCCUUUAGGUUCGGAAUAGCUCCUGGAAACGGGUGGUAAUGCCGAAUGUGCCCUUCGGGGGAAAGAUUUAUCGCCUUUAGAGCGGCCCGCGUCUGAUUCGCUAGUUGGUGAGGUAAUGGCUCACCAAGGCGACGAUCAGUAGCUGGUCUGAGUGGAUGACCAGCCACAUUGGGACUGGGACACGGCCCAAACUCCUACGGGAGGCAGCAGUGGGGAAUCUUGCGCAAUGGGCGAAAGCCUGACGCAGCCAUGCCGCGUGGAUGAUGAGGGUCUUAGGAUUGUAAAAUCCUUUCACCGGUGAAGAUAAUGACUGUAGCCGGAGAAGAAGCCCCGGCUAACUUCGUGCCAGCAGCCGCGGUAA